CCACCCAAGAAAAGUGUGAUGAAGACCACAUGGGGUGUGCUGGAUCCUCCUGUGGGGAAUACCCGGUUGAAUGUCAUUAGGUUGAUAUCCAGCCUGCUUCAAACCAAUACCAGCAGUAUAAAUGGGGACCUUAUGGAGCUGAAUAGCAUUGGAGUCAUAUUGAACAUGUUCUUCAAGUAUACAUGGAAUAACUUUUUGCAUACACAAGUGGAAAUUUGUAUUGCACUGAUUCUUGCAAGUCCUUUUGAAAACACAGAAAAUGCCACAAUUACCGAUCAAGACUCCACUGGUGAUAAUUUGUUAUUAAAACAUCUUUUCCAAAAAUGUCAAUUAAUAGAACGAAUACUUGAAGCCUGGGAAAUGAAUGAGAAGAAACAGUAAGUAAAUUGUUUUUUUGAAAGGAAUUCAGUUUGGUUGGUAAUAUGAGGAAAAUAAUACCUCCUUGCCCUAGUCAGAAAAAAAUGGAAAUAAUUACAUGAUACUGGCCAU
This 489-nucleotide small RNA is filed under the name Pan troglodytes (chimpanzee). RNAcentral describes it as "retained intron". Lineage: Eukaryota; Metazoa; Chordata; Mammalia; Primates; Hominidae. The record is from RNAcentral.